ACGGAAGGCAGCAGUGGGGAAUAUUGCACAAUGGGGGAAACCUUGAUGCAGCGACGCCGCGUGAGUGAAGAAGUAUUUCGGUAUGUAAAGCUCUAUCAGCAGGGAAGAAAAUGACGGUACCUGACUAAGAAGCCCCGGCUAACUACGUGCCAGCAGCCGCGGUAAUACGUAGGGGGCAAGCGUUAUCCGGAUUUACUGGGUGUAAAGGGAGCGUAGACGGCGAUGCAAGUCUGAUGUGAAAGCCCGGGGCUCAACCCCGGCACUGCAUUGGAAACUGUGUUGCUAGAGUGCAGGAGAGGUAAGUGGAAUUCCUAGUGUAGCGGUGAAAUGCGUAGAUAUUAGGAGGAACACCAGUGGCGAAGGCGGCUUACUGGACUGUAACUGACGUUGAGGCUCGAAAGCGUGGGGAGCAAACAGGAUUAGAUACCCUGGUA
This 434-nucleotide ribosomal RNA is filed under the name uncultured Lachnospiraceae bacterium. RNAcentral describes it as "partial 16S ribosomal RNA". It matches the Rfam family "Bacterial small subunit ribosomal RNA", at positions 341 to 792 of the family's 1533-position model. Lineage: Bacteria; Bacillati; Bacillota; Clostridia; Lachnospirales; Lachnospiraceae. The record is from RNAcentral.